Molecule: long non-coding RNA, 1727 nt
Filed under: Pan troglodytes (chimpanzee)
Lineage: Eukaryota; Metazoa; Chordata; Mammalia; Primates; Hominidae
Description: long non-coding RNA NONPTRT006974
Source: RNAcentral
CUGGAGGUCAGGUCGGGGAGACGGGCAUCCAUUCCCGAAAUUACAUAGCAGGGCCUGGAGACAGGAGAUGCCGCCGGCCAGACCACCAUCAGUCACUAAUGAGGGACGGGCACUCAGAACUGCCCAGUUUCUGAGUUACAGAAGCCGGGGGUGCGGGGCUGCCAGACUAGUAAAACUGACCUUGUUGGCGGAAUCGCUCACGGCUUUUCUGUUGAUGAACAGAGUCCAGCUCUCCCACGGGUGGCUGUGAUCCUUCUUCCUGGGGAGUCCUGCUGUCCCUGACUAGGGGCACCUGCCCACCUGUCAGCUGCUCCUCCCUCGGCUGGUCCUCCUGGGCUCUGAUGGCCCCAACAUUUCUAGCUCUUCUCACCCAUAGUGCCCCGAGCUUCAUGCAGCUGCAGCAGCAGCAUGAACAGACUGAGAUAGCGGCUUACAUGUAACCGGAAGCUGCAGAAAAACAUCUUCAGACAGCUGAGACGGCUCCCAGGACUCAUGCCUGGCACAGACACCAUCUGCCUGGCAGGGCAAAGAAAGGCGUCUAUGAGUGUGGGAGGAUUCCGAGUCUAACACCCUGAGCCCAGCCAGGAAGGGGCCAGGAAGGCCUCCUCGUGAACAACGAAUGAAACAGAACCCAGAUCUCAGACAGGGCGGGGAAGGGGAGGGGUACCAUGUCAAGCAGCACUCUGUAUUUUCGACAGGAAAUGCUGCUGCAAGGAAUUCAUCCGUAGGCUAGCACUACAACCUGGAGGCAGGGAGCAGUGAGGAGUGGAAAUCUUCCCAUCAGAAGUGAAGAAGGCUGGAUACGGUGGCUCACACCAGUAAUCCCAGCACUUUGGGAGGCAAAGGCAGGAGGAUCACUUGAGCCCAGGAGUUUGAGACCAGCCUAGGCAACUUAGCAAGACCUUGUCUUCAAAAAAAAAAAAAAAUUUUACAAGGAACUACACAGAUGGCAAAACUUAAAAAAAAAAAAAAAGUGGGAAGAGGGGAGAAAGGGAGAUCAAUGUCUUCUACAGAUUUCAUCUUGUCGGGUGGAGAGUGUGAGGAGUAGAGCCAUGUGGUGGGAAACUGUUGGUGUCUUGUUUGCGAAUGACUUUGGAACAAAGACCACCUGAUAAGCACAGUUAAGGAAUGAAAACACACAGGGACUUCCCAGGGAGCCAGGAGGACACUGGGGGAGCAUGAACACCUGCCUUUCCCAUGGGGCCCUGGUGUGCCCAGCCCCCCACUUCAUGUCUGACCCACGUGCUCUCUGGCUGACCUCCUGGGACUCGCACCCGGCCCCCACUUGGUAUCUGAGCCAUGUACUUCCCGGCUGACCUCCCGCAACGUGAAGACUACUCUCGCUCCCUUCAAGGCCACUGUCCCCACCGCAGCCAGAGAGGUGUUUUAUAGUUCAAAUCCUGCCCAGGCACCAUCUUGCCUAAAGGCAGCCCUGAGCCGGAAUCUGUGUGCUUUGCUGAUGGGACUGUAAAAUGGCGCAGUCACUUUUGAAACAGUCUGACAGUUCCUCAAAAGCUUAAACAUAGACUUACCACAUACCCAGCAAUUCCACGCCCAGGCUCUGCCCCAGGAGAAUUGAAAACAUCUAUCCACACGGAAACUUGUACACAAAUGUUCACAGUUGCACUAUUUAUCAUCAUCAGGAUGCCUAUAAUUGAUGAACAGAUGAACAAAUUGUGCUAUAUCCAUAUAAUUAAAUAUUAUUCAGUCAUAAGAAUGAGGCCGGG